This 500-nucleotide ribosomal RNA is filed under the name Bergeyella zoohelcum. RNAcentral's name for it is "bacterial SSU rRNA". It matches the Rfam family "Bacterial small subunit ribosomal RNA", at positions 9 to 496 of the family's 1533-position model. Lineage: Bacteria; Pseudomonadati; Bacteroidota; Flavobacteriia; Flavobacteriales; Weeksellaceae. The record is from RNAcentral.
GAGUUUGAUUAUGGCUCAGGAUGAACGCUAGCGGGAGGCCUAACACAUGCAAGCCGAGCGGGAUUUGUUGGUUAGCUUGCUAACUAAUAAUGAGAGCGGCGUACGGGUGCGUAACACGUGUGCAACCUGCCUUUAUCUGGGGGAUAGCCUUUCGAAAGGAAGAUUAAUACCCCAUAAUAUAUUAAUUGGCAUCAAUUGAUUUUGAAAGCUCCGGCGGAUAGAGAUGGGCACGCGUAAGAUUAGCUAGUUGGUGAGGUAACGGCUCACCAAGGCUGCGAUCUUUAGGGGGCCUGAGAGGGUGAUCCCCCACACUGGUACUGAGACACGGACCAGACUCCUACGGGAGGCAGCAGUGAGGAAUAUUGGACAAUGGGUGAGAGCCUGAUCCAGCCAUCCCGCGUGAAGGACUAAGGACCUAUGGUUUGUAAACUUCUUUUAUAACAGGGAUAAACCUACUCUCGUGAGGGUAAGAAGAAAGGUACUGUAUGAAUAAGCCCCGG